UAUUGCACAAUGGGGGAAACCCUGAUGCAGCGACGCCGCGUGAGUGAAGAAGUAUUUCGGUAUGUAAAGCUCUAUCAGCAGGGAAGAAAGAAAUGACGGUACCUGACUAAGAAGCCCCGGCUAACUACGUGCCAGCAGCCGCGGUAAUACGUAGGGGGCAAGCGUUAUCCGGAUUUACUGGGUGUAAAGGGAGCGUAGACGGUGAUGUAAGUCUGGAGUGAAAGGCGGGGGCCCAACCCCCGGACUGCUCUGGAAACUAUGUGACUGGAGUGCAGGAGAGGUGAGCGGAAUUCCUAGUGUAGCGGUGAAAUGCGUAGAUAUUAGGAGGAACACCAGUGGCGAAGGCGGCUCACUGGACUGUAACUGACACUGAUGCUCGAAAGUGUGGGUAUCAAAC
Molecule: ribosomal RNA, 397 nt
Filed under: uncultured bacterium
Lineage: Bacteria
Description: bacterial SSU rRNA
Rfam family: Bacterial small subunit ribosomal RNA
Source: RNAcentral